UGGGGAAUCUUGGACAAUGGGGGCAACCCUGAUCCAGCCAUGCCGCGUGAGUGAUGAAGGCCUUAGGGUCGUAAAGCUCUUUCGCCUGUGAAGAUAAUGACGGUAGCAGGUAAAGAAACCCCGGCUAACUCCGUGCCAGCAGCCGCGGUAAUACGGAGGGGGUUAGCGUUGUUCGGAAUUACUGGGCGUAAAGCGCACGUAGGCGGACCAGAAAGUUGGGGGUGAAAUCCCGGGGGCUCAACCCCGGAACUGCCUCCAAAACUAUUGGUCUAGAGUUCGAGAGAGGUGAGUGGAAUCCCAAGUGUAGAGGUGAAAUUCGUAGAUAUUGGGAAAGAACACCAGUGGCGAAGGCGGCUCACUGGCUCGAUACUGACGCUGAGGUGCGAAAGUGUGGGGAGCAAACAGGAUUAGAUACCCUGGUAGUCCACACCGUAAAACGAUGAAUGCCAGUCGUCGGGUAGCAUGCUAUUCGGUGACACACCUAACGGAUUAAGCAUUCCGCCUGGGGAGUACGGUCGCAAGAUUAAAA
RNAcentral lists this ribosomal RNA (529 nucleotides) under uncultured bacterium. RNAcentral's name for it is "bacterial SSU rRNA". It matches the Rfam family "Bacterial small subunit ribosomal RNA", at positions 355 to 899 of the family's 1533-position model. The record is from RNAcentral.